UACGGAGGAUCCGAGCGUUAUCCGGAAUUAUUGGGUUUAAAGGGUGCGUAGGCGGCCAUUUAAGUCAGCGGUGAAAUUUUGCAGCUUAACUGUAACAGUGCCGUUGAUACUGGGGAGCUAGGAUUUGGUUGCUGUGGGUGGAAUGUGUGGUGUAGCGGUGAAAUGCUUAGAGAUCACACAGAAUAUCGAUUGCGAAGGCAGCUUACUAAACUGUAACUGACGCUGAGGCACGAAAGCGUGGGUAUCAAACAGGAUUAGAUA
RNAcentral lists this ribosomal RNA (261 nucleotides) under uncultured prokaryote. Its description in RNAcentral is "partial 16S ribosomal RNA". It matches the Rfam family "Bacterial small subunit ribosomal RNA", at positions 524 to 784 of the family's 1533-position model. The record is from RNAcentral.